GACGAACGCUGGCGGCGUGCUUAACACAUGCAAGUCGAACGGUGAAGCGAGUGCUUGCACUCGUGGAUCAGUGGCGAACGGGUGAGUAACACGUGAGUAACCUGCCCAUCACUCUGGGAUAAGCACUGGAAACGGUGUCUAAUACUGGAUACGACCAACCCUUGCAUGGGGUGUUGGUGGAAAGAUUUAUCGGUGAUGGAUGGACUCGCAGCCUAUCAGCUUGUUGGCGGGGUAAUGGCCCACCAAGGCGACGACGGGUAGCCGGCCUGAGAGGGUGACCGGCCACACUGGGACUGAGACACGGCCCAGACUCCUACGGGAGGCAGCAGUGGGGAAUAUUGCACAAUGGGCGAAAGCCUGAUGCAGCGACGCCGCGUGAGGGAUGACGGCCUUCGGGUUGUAAACCUCUUUCAGCAGGGAAGAAGCGAAAGUGACGGUACCUGCAGAAGAAGCACCGGCUAACUACGUG
RNAcentral lists this ribosomal RNA (469 nucleotides) under uncultured bacterium. Its description in RNAcentral is "partial 16S ribosomal RNA". It matches the Rfam family "Bacterial small subunit ribosomal RNA", at positions 28 to 507 of the family's 1533-position model. The record is from RNAcentral.